CCCUUAGACGUUCUGGGCCGCACGCGCGCUACACUGACGAAGGCAACGAGCUACUCUUCACCGAAAGGUGUGGGUAAUCUUUUGAAACUUCGUCGUGCUGGGGAUAGAUCCUUGCAAUUUUUGAUCUUAAACGAGGAAUUCCUAGUAAGCGCAAGUCAUCAACUUGCGUUGAUUACGUCCCUGCCCCUUGUACACACCGCCCGUCGCUACUACCGAUUGAAUGGUUUAGUGAGGCCUUCGGAUCCGCGAUUUUAUUGUGGAGAAGUUGGACAAACUCAGUCAUUUAGAGGAAGUAAAAGUCGUAACA
This 307-nucleotide ribosomal RNA is filed under the name uncultured eukaryote. RNAcentral describes it as "partial 18S ribosomal RNA". It matches the Rfam family "Eukaryotic small subunit ribosomal RNA", at positions 1470 to 1796 of the family's 1831-position model. The record is from RNAcentral.